This 949-nucleotide long non-coding RNA is filed under the name Homo sapiens (human). RNAcentral describes it as "non-protein coding lnc-PFKP-11:1". The record is from RNAcentral. Lineage: Eukaryota; Metazoa; Chordata; Mammalia; Primates; Hominidae.
CGGACGGGACAGAUUGGAUCGCACCUGUCACAGCCACGCUCUGGAAUAGCGAGGGCCCAGCGUCCCCAGGCCCAGGGUGAGGAGAAUCCCUGCCACACUGUGUCUGGAAUUGGUGGGUUCUUGGUCUCACUGACUUCAAGAAUGAAGCCGCGGACCCUCACGAACCCUCUGUGGAAGCGGUGGUCUGACACAAGCAUUUCUGGAUGACGCUGAACCUGCUUACAACUCCCUGCUGCUGUCAGGCAGAACAUUCUCCAAACCGCAUGAAUUUGGAAGUCUGGACACUUCAGGCAUCAUCAGGUUUAUGGUUUUGUCAUAACCCUGCUGAAAGUCCUUUACCAUCUCCAGGCCUCCAUUUAUUUUCUAUAAAAUAAGGAGUUUGGAAUGGCACUGUGUUGAUAUUCUCCAGUUUUGUGAAACAUCGUACUCAACAAUCGCGAGCAGGCAUUUUACAGACCUUGCUUUCCUAGACCUGCUCAAGUAGAACAUUCAGGUCAGUGCUAAGAGUUAAUAUGCUGCCUCCGUCUGACCUCCACAUUAUGAAAAAAAAUAUAAAGGAAAGAGCAAAAGGUAGAGCAAGUAGGUUUCGGGCUUGGUGGAGUAGCUCUGAGUGCUGCCCUGUCCUUGGCUGUGUGUGCCAGGUGAAGCGUCUGUGAAGGUCCCCAGUGGGGUGUGCAGAGCACAAGGGCUGCUUCUGAAUGCAGGCACGUGAUCUAAGGACACUGUGCAUCACCAGUGUGACCCCAGGAGUAGUUUCAGAGCUUUGAUAAGACCUAGGCCAGGCUCAGUGGCUCACGCCUGUCAUCUCAGCACUUUGGGAGGCCAAGGUGGGUGGAUCAGCUGAGGUCAGGAGUUCAAGACCAGCCUGACCAAUAUGGUGAAAUCCUGUCCCUACUAAAAGUACAAAAAUUAGUUGGGUGUGGGGGCGAGCGCCUGUAAUCCCAGCUAC